This 274-nucleotide ribosomal RNA is filed under the name uncultured bacterium. RNAcentral describes it as "partial 16S ribosomal RNA". It matches the Rfam family "Bacterial small subunit ribosomal RNA", at positions 523 to 796 of the family's 1533-position model. The record is from RNAcentral.
AGACGGAGGAUGCAAGUGUUAUCCGGAAUCACUGGGCGUAAAGCGUCUGUAGGUGGUUAAAUAAGUCAACUGUUAAAUCUUGAGGCUCAACCUCAAAAUCGCAGCCGAAACUAGUAAACUAGAGUAUAGUAGGGGUAAAGGGAAUUUCCAGUGGAGCGGUGAAAUGCGUAGAGAUUGGAAAGAACACCAAUGGCGAAGGCACUUUACUGGGCUAUUACUAACACUGAGAGACGAAAGCUAGGGUAGCAAAUGGGAUUAGAAACCCUAGUAGUCC